GACGAACGCUGGCGGCGUGCUUAACACAUGCAAGUCGAACGGUAAGGCCCCAGCUUGCUGGGGUACACGAGUGGCGAACGGGUGAGUAACACGUGGGUGACCUGCUCCUCACUUCGGGAUAAGCCUGGGAAACUGGGUCUAAUACGGGAUACGACCGCACCCUGUGGGUGUGGUUGAAAGUUUUUCGGGGUGGGAUGGUGCUGCGGCCUCUCCGCUUGUUGGUGGGGUAAUGGCCUACCAAGGCGGCGACGGGUAGCCGGCCUGAGAGGGGGGACAGCCAAGUUGGGACUGAGAUACGGCGCAGACUCCUACGGGAAGCAGCAGUGGGGGAUAUUGCACGAUGGGGAGAAGCCUGAUGCAGCGAUGCCGCGUGGGGGAUGACGGCCUUCGGAUUGUAAACUCCUUUCACCAUCGAAGAAGGUUUUCUGGCGGUAGAUGGAGAAGAAGCACCGGCUAACUACGUG
Molecule: ribosomal RNA, 464 nt
Filed under: uncultured bacterium
Lineage: Bacteria
Description: partial 16S ribosomal RNA
Rfam family: Bacterial small subunit ribosomal RNA
Source: RNAcentral